RNAcentral lists this ribosomal RNA (238 nucleotides) under uncultured bacterium. Its description in RNAcentral is "partial 16S ribosomal RNA". It matches the Rfam family "Bacterial small subunit ribosomal RNA", at positions 116 to 354 of the family's 1533-position model. The record is from RNAcentral.
CGUGAGGAACCUGCCUUCCAGAGGGGGACAACAGUUGGAAACGACUGCUAAUACCGCAUGACGCAUUGGUGUCGCAUGGCACUGAUGUCAAAGAUUUAUCGCUGGAAGAUGGCCUCGCGUCUGAUUAGCCAGUUGGUGAGGUAACGGCCCACCAAGGCGACGAUCAGUAGCCGGACUGAGAGGUUGGCCGGCCACAUUGGGACUGAGAUACGGCCCAGACUCCUACGGGAGGCAGCAG